RNAcentral lists this long non-coding RNA (484 nucleotides) under Panax ginseng (ginseng). Its description in RNAcentral is "long non-coding RNA (PGIN_LNC011494)". The record is from RNAcentral. Lineage: Eukaryota; Viridiplantae; Streptophyta; Magnoliopsida; Apiales; Araliaceae.
GCUAAAGGCCCCUAUAGUGACAGAAGUGUCGCUAUAGGUGUUCUUGAGCCUACCCAGAUCUUCAUAAGGCAGAACCGAGUGGCCUACUUUGACCGUGAAUAACUCUCUCAUCUUAACGAAUUUGGACAAUCUAUAAAUUGGGUCUUGUAGAGGAAAUACAAGACUACAAGAUCCAACAAUCAUAACCUCUAAACAAACAUCAGAUAUGGGAUAAAUCAGCCAUCAAAGUAGCUACCAAAGCUGUUCUUCACGAAGAACAGUUCGAGGUGCCUACUUUGGACCUCUAUAACUUGAUGAUCGUGCAACGUUUACGUGAUCUAUCAAUUCUGGUAUGUAGACAACAUGUAGGACUACAAUUCUAACACUUAACAUCAUCAUAACAACAAGAAAUCAAGCAGAUAAAGUAUGGUCAAACCUUGUCAGAAAAAUCAACACUUAGAAAAUUCUGGGCUGCCCAGAAUUUUCUGGUCAAUGCCGGUCAACC